AUAAACACUGUGAAAAAGAAAGUAGUGAAUUCGUUUUUUUAGUCAGAGAGUCUCGGUAGCUGAAAAGAGAUAAAAAAAUACGUUCAACGAAAAUGGCUUUUGAGUGGAUCUUCUGAAUAAUUAAGAAGAUACGGUUUGCGCCGUUAACAAGCAACGGUCUCCACAAGUAGUGGGUACUGGUUGAGGUAGUAUUUGUGAGAAUACUACAUGAUAAGGUGGUAACGCAGAGUAAUGCCCUUAGA
This 242-nucleotide non-coding RNA is filed under the name Enterococcus saccharolyticus. Its description in RNAcentral is "T-box sequence". It matches the Rfam family "T-box leader". Rfam says of the family: Uncharged tRNA acts as the effector for transcription antitermination of genes in the T-box leader family. T-boxes are found upstream of many aminoacyl-tRNA synthetase genes and some amino acid biosynthetic genes usually in Gram-positive bacteria. The anticodon of a specific tRNA base pairs to a specifier sequence within the T-box motif, and the NCCA acceptor tail of the tRNA base pairs to a conserved bulge in the T-box antiterminator hairpin. The record is from RNAcentral. Lineage: Bacteria; Bacillati; Bacillota; Bacilli; Lactobacillales; Enterococcaceae.